This 327-nucleotide ribosomal RNA is filed under the name uncultured eukaryote. RNAcentral's name for it is "partial 18S ribosomal RNA". It matches the Rfam family "Eukaryotic small subunit ribosomal RNA", at positions 1470 to 1796 of the family's 1831-position model. The record is from RNAcentral.
CCCUUAGAUGUUCUGGGCCACACGCGCGUUACACUGAUGAAGCCAGCGAGUAUAUCGCCUUCACCGGAAGGUGCGGGUAAUCUUGUGAAACUUCAUCGUGCUGGGGAUAGACCAUUGCAAUUAUUGGUCUUGAACGAGGAAUUCCUAGUAAGCAUGAGUCAUCAACUCGUGCUGAUUACGUCCCUGCCCUUUGUACACACCGCCCGUCGCUACUACCGAUUGAAUGGUUUAGUGAGAUCUCGGGAUUGGAGACGUUGCGCCGCAAGGCACAUCGUCCUCGAGAACUUGAUCAGACUUGAUCAUUUAGAGGAAGUAAAAGUCGUAACA